Molecule: non-coding RNA, 417 nt
Organism: Camellia sinensis
Lineage: Eukaryota; Viridiplantae; Streptophyta; Magnoliopsida; Ericales; Theaceae
Source: RefSeq, a predicted model, not a curated record
AGCGUAAUUUAUCCAAAAAUAUUUGAUGUCUUGCUAUCGCAGUGUAGAAGUAGGAACCAUUCAUUUGGGGAGAUAAGGAUUGAGGUGGCCCACUGAAACUUGCAUCGAAUUUUCGGUGGUGAGGUGAAUAGGGGUUUUAAAAUCAAAUCCGUUCAAGAUAGUGAAUUGAGAAAGUUUCUCCUUCAAUUUUGAAAAGCACGCGAGGCAAUCCAGUGCGUCGGAGCCUAUCUAAGCCGUCAUCAUAAGACAGCUGGUCAUGGCUUCGAAUUCGCAAAAGGAUAUUCCGACCUCUUGCAGUCCCGGUAAGAUGAGUGAUUCCUUGAUGGAGGCAUACCUGUUAGCUUGCGUAUGAAAUCCAUGAUUUCCUUUUUAUUUUUAUUUUUAUUUUUUUGAUAAAAUAUUUUAAGAUUUGCUUGA